This 571-nucleotide long non-coding RNA is filed under the name Cyanistes caeruleus (blue tit). RNAcentral's name for it is "lncRNA (ENSCCEG00000022284.1)". Lineage: Eukaryota; Metazoa; Chordata; Aves; Passeriformes; Paridae. The record is from RNAcentral.
AAGGAAAAGUUUAACAGAGAGGAAAUGCAGUCUGAUCUGCUUUUAACAAGUGCAGUGACCAAGACAUUUUUCAUUUUCCUAUCUCUAAAAAUAAUUAAGUGAACACAGAGAUAUCGCUUCAUAGGACCCAGCGCUAAGGUUGCUGAUGCUGAGAUUGGAAAAAAAAAAUCCUGUUUUUUGAAAAGUUUAUAAACAUUUUCAUCUUGCAUCACAUGGAAUAAUUAGAAAAUUAUAUAUGCAGGUUCUAUUCAGAUAGACUGGCAUUCCCUCUUUUACGGAAAGGAAGGAUGUAUCUACAAGGAAAUAUCCACAACAGUCAUGUGACAAACUGGCAUGGUCAAUGAGAGUUUUAAAAAUCUGUACAACAGAACAUCUAGACAGGCAUUAUUAGCACUAGAAUUGCUGUGCUUUGUUGUUUGGGAAACCACCCUGGGAAGACAAUAUCUUCAGAUGAGUGACAGGCCUUUAUCACCUUCUCCACCCCCUACCAUUUUUCUGGCUGCUUAAGGGACUCCAGCAUUUCUGCUUCAAUGGAUGGCAAAUACCUUUGCAGAACUUGCACAACGUCCUU